Gallus gallus (chicken) is the source of this 1363-nucleotide long non-coding RNA. Lineage: Eukaryota; Metazoa; Chordata; Aves; Galliformes; Phasianidae. The record is from Ensembl.
AGGAGUUCAGGGAGCAUUUGGGCCGCGCUCUCAUAUAGGUUGUCUGGUUUUUGAAUAGUUCUGUAUGGAAUCAAAAUCUGGACUUGAUGAUCCUUAAGGAAAGAAAAAACUAUUCUCGGUCACAAGAUGUCCUCUUUUCCCUUUCUGCUCAUCUGCAGUGUGUGCUCCCUAACUACCUUGCCUUCAGCAUUAGGUGCUCCCUAAUUCCCAAAGUGAAAAUGUUUAACAGCUUAAUCAGAAUUGUCACAUUACACAGAGCCUUGUAUGCAUAUAUGACACCUAUUGACUUUCACUGAUACUUGCUGAAUGGUUGUGGAGAGCAAACUAUAGAUACGAGUAUAGUGAGGCAGUGUGGGUGAUGCAUUUCAACACUGGCAACAGUGAUGUGAAAGACAAGCUACAUUCUGGAUGACCAUGCAUAGCUGUAACACCACGAAAUGAAGAGCAUCUCAGUCAGCUCACCUGCAUGAGUCAGCACAUUAUAACCAGUGAAUUGUGUAUGGAGUUGAAUGUUGGCUUCAGUGUGUUCGAAACAAUGGUGGCAACAUUGGAAUAUUGCAAAGUUUGCACCAGGUGGGUCCUACAAAUGCACACACAGCACACAGGAACAGAAAGAACAUUGUAUGCAAGUUUGUCAAGAUCUAUUGAACUGAUAUGAAGCUGAAGUUGACACUUUCCUGGGUUGCAUCAUGACCGGUGAUGAGACACGGUGUGACCGCUACAAGCUGGAGUCAAAAUGGCAGUUCGUGGAGUGGCUACAUGUGAAUUGAAGAAAAAGCUCAAGAUACAGCUCACAACAGGUAAGGUGAUGUGCACUCUUUUGGGAUAGGAAAGGGGCGAUCCUUCUGGAUUUCCUGGAACCCAGAAAAACCAUCAUCUCUGACUGCUACAUAGUGACUCUGACUAAAGCUGAAAGCUCAAACUCCCGGAGUGAGGUCACAGAAAAAGACAGCCUUUCUCUUGAAACAUGAUAAUACCAGGCCCCAUACCAGUUUGAAGAUGAUGGAGCAUAUUACCAAUCUUGGAUGAACUGUCCUACUAUGCUCAUCAUAUAGUCUGGAUUUAGUGCCUUCUGACUUCCAUCUGUUUGAGCGGAUGAUAUAUUGUCUGCACGGACUACAUUUUCCUAGCAAUGAUGAUGCCAUACCAGCUGUAAAACAGUAGGUUACUUCCACUGGUGCAGAUUUUUACAAGUGUGUUAUGCAUGCUCUUGAUCAUUACUGGAAAAAAUUUAUAGCUAAUGCCAUAGCUAAUGGACUAAUGAUGACUGUUGAAAAGUAGUGUUUUCUAUCUGAGAAUUUCUCAAUCAAAUAGUGUUACUGAAUUAUUUCUUGUACUGUCUGUGGAAAUAAAUAGGAGGUAU